Long non-coding RNA from Ipomoea triloba (trilobed morning glory), 553 nucleotides. RefSeq lists it as uncharacterized. Lineage: Eukaryota; Viridiplantae; Streptophyta; Magnoliopsida; Solanales; Convolvulaceae. The record is from RefSeq and is a predicted model, not a curated record. The transcript is spliced from 2 exons.
UACGUAACGAAAUAUGUAUUCAUGUCCAGCUGAAUAAUCACACGCCAUCGGAUUAUAAUCAUUCCUCAAACGUGUCCACAAUCAGAGACGGGAAGACCUCGCAUCCCUCCCUCCAAUUCGGGCACUAUCUCUCUCUCCUAGAAGGCUUCGCAUUCGCUGUUCGCUUCAACUGAUCAUCGUCGCAGAGAUCUGGCAACGAUUAUUCACUGUGAAAUCUCAGUCCCAUCACGGACCUUCAACUUCAGCUGUUGAAGAUUUCUUUAUAUUCUGGCGGCAUUCUAAAUGUCUACUCUGUCUUCUCCAAUGAGUUCAACUUUGUCAACAUCUCGAGGGAUAAUUCCCCCAGCUGGCUUUGGUGCAUAUGAAGAUUCCAUGAGUGGGGAUCCUGGACCUUUUGGGAAUACUCAAUCAGAGUCUAGUGACACUGAUGAAACUGAGUUACAUUCUGUAUCAUGGAACCAGGACUACAGUUGCUUUGCUGCUGGCACAAGUCGAGGUUUUCGUAUAUAUAACUGUGAUCCCUUCAAGGAGACUUUCAGACGUGAUAUCAAAA